Molecule: long non-coding RNA, 1488 nt
Filed under: Fukomys damarensis (Damara mole-rat)
Lineage: Eukaryota; Metazoa; Chordata; Mammalia; Rodentia; Bathyergidae
Description: lncRNA (ENSFDAG00000030525.1)
Source: RNAcentral
UGAAAUCUGAAAAAUGUCCUUUUUUCUGCAACUUAUUAUAAUGAUGUUUUAUAAUAUCAAGGAAAUCAAUCGUUGUCUCAUUGCAUCAUCUGCUGAUUUUCCAUUGCUCUUACAGUCACAUCCAGAAGGUUAGCUCGGGCUGCUUCAAGAAUUUCACGUCUGUUCUGAAUCAUCUCUGUGCCCUUGGCCUCCGCCUUUGUCUCGCAACCCAGAGAUACUGGCACUGUGGAAAUCACUACGUCUGUCUCACAGAGGAAGCAGUGGAAUUCGAAGUGAUGGAUUCACCAGCCAACAUGAUUGCUGGUGAAAGCAAUGCCUAUCAGUUCCUGGGAACUAUUCUGGACACUAGAGACACAGCCAUCCAAGUGACAGAUAAGUCUCCUCUUCACCUAUCAAAUGUGUCAAGACCCAGGAAAAUCUUUUUUGUCUGCUGACCUUUCUCGUCCCAGCUGAGUAACAAAGCUUUCCAUCAAGAUCAUCAGGUCAGCAAGACUUCAUGGCUGUGUCUCAGCUUGCUGGUUUACCCCUGAGGUUUUGGCUUCAACCUCAAUCUCUUCUAGGUUAGAACAGCUGCACACCAUCACCAAUUUAUCAUCCUGGAAAAAUGGAGAGAUGCCACGAGCUGGAGACCGAGCCAAGUAUUGGCUGAAUUAGGGCUGAACAGAGGUGGCCCAGUUUUGUUGCUUUCUUCCUGGCCCUGAGGAAUGCUCCCAUUUCCCUUUCUUUCUGUGACACAGGUCACCUUCAUCACCUUUGACCAAGUCCCUGCUUGGAAAUCACCUUGGCUUUUUACCUUCUCUGUCUGAGAUUGGAACCCCAACCUGGUCAGUCAGCCGACAGCUGCCCACCUCCUUCCCCUCUUUGUCUUUGGUCUCCUUUUCUCCCUUUAUGCUUGAAGUCAAUGUUUUUUCUUUUAAAGAAAAAUCAAAUGUCAGUUCUCUUCUCCAUGAAAAUUAAUAUGAGGUUAUGUCACUGUCUUCCAGGAGUGCCUAAAAUUAACUAUUCCCAGAAAAAGACAUUUAGAUUAUAUUAGCUUCUAGACAUUCUUUUCUUCAAAUAGUUUUUCUGACAUCAAAAGUAAACAUUUUCCAGGAGACCUGUAAUCCAAGGUACUUGAGAGUCUGAUGCAAAAGGAUCUCAAGUUUGAGCCCAGCUUGGGCAGCUUAGCAAGACCUCAUGUCAAAAUAAAAUUUAAAAAAGGACUGGGCAUGUAGCUCAGUGGUAGACACCUUGCGUACCAUGCCUGAGGCCCUGGGCCUAAUCACUAGUGCCCCCUGCCACACAUAAGAUAGAAAGGAAAAAAACAAAUGAACUUUUUUUUUAAAAGUAAACAUUCUUGCAACAAAAUGAAAAAACAGAGGAAGGUAGAGAAAAAAGCAGGAAUCAGAGUCCCAUCAUCCAAAAUCCUUGCUCAUAUUCACAUCCAUGUCUUUCAAGGCCUUAUUCUGUGCACAUGCAGUGGUAUAUAAAAUACGUAGUUACUGGACG